RNAcentral lists this ribosomal RNA (408 nucleotides) under uncultured bacterium. RNAcentral's name for it is "partial 16S ribosomal RNA". It matches the Rfam family "Bacterial small subunit ribosomal RNA", at positions 28 to 526 of the family's 1533-position model. The record is from RNAcentral.
GACGAACGCUGGCGGCGUGCUUAACACAUGCAAGUCGAACGAAGUGGCGAACGGGUGAGUAACGCGUAAUCAACCUGCCCUUCAGAGGGGGACAACAGUUGGCAACGACUGCUAAUACCGCAUACUGAAGGAGGGGAUUGCGUCUGAUUAGCUAGUGGGGGGGGUAACGGCCCACCAAGGCGAUGAUAAGUAGCCGGGCUUAGAGGGUGAAGGGCCACAAUGGGACUGAGACACGGCCCAGACUCCGACGGGGGGCAGCAGUGGGGAAUCUUCCGCAAUGGACGAAAGUCUGACGGAGCAACGCCGCGGGAGUGAUGACGGCCUUCGGGUUGUAAAGCUCUGUUAAUCGGGACGCGGUACCGGAAUAGAAAGCCACGGCUAACUACGUGCCAGCAGCCGCGGUAAUUC